ACGCAACGAAGUUCCGCUAGGGCAUGUGCGUCAAUGAACUCGAUUUCUGUCUACAAUCUCUUCUGGAAAGUUCCUGCACUGUAAUUUCUCGAAAAUAAUUUAUUUGUUUACGCACGUUUUCUUAUUUCCGAUAACUUUCUAAAGCCAAAAUUGAAGACUUUCCUGCAAAAUGGAAGAUUAUUAUGAUAUUUUAGAAUUACCUAGAAAUGCUUCAAAUGGUGAUAUAAAAAAGGCGUAUCGAAAAUUGGCUUUAAAAUGGCAUCCUGAUAAAAAUCCAGAUAGAAAAGAAGAAGCUGAACGUAGAUUUAAACAAAUUUCAGAAGCUUAUGAAGUACUUUCUGAUG
Molecule: long non-coding RNA, 344 nt
Organism: Centruroides sculpturatus (bark scorpion)
Lineage: Eukaryota; Metazoa; Arthropoda; Arachnida; Scorpiones; Buthidae
Exons: 3
Source: RefSeq, a predicted model, not a curated record